AUCCAUGAUUUUUAAAGUUAUAGAACAGCCUCUGUUGUCAUCAUAUUUAUGCUUGAACGUUUUCUAACUAGUCUUUAUAAUUUGUAGUUAAUUCUGAAUCUCAAACCUCUAUGACACUGUAAUUCUUUCUAAAUUGAACAGUAAGAAUGCUCAGAGAAGAGUUGCAGCUGCUUCAAGAACCUGGGUCCUAUGUGGGUGAAGUGGUAAAAGUGAUGGGAAAAAACAAGGUCUUGGUUAAGGUAUGAAUCUUUUUAUUAUAUUUUUUAGGAUUAACCUGGCUUUAUAUUUCUCGGAACAUAGUUGUCAAUAACGCUUACACUCCCAUUUUCCAGGUUCAUCCAGAGGGGAAGUAUGUUGUUGAUAUUGACAAAAGUAUAGAUAUAACAAAAAUCACUCCAUCAACGAGAGUUGCUCUUCGUAAUGAUAGCUAUGUUCUCCACCUGGUCUUGCCAAGUAAAGUAGAUCCGCUGGUUAACCUUAUGAAAGUUGAAAAGGUUCCAGACUCCACAUAUGACAUGAUUGGUGGUCUUGACCAGCAAAUUAAGGAAAUAAAGGAGGUAUGCCUAGUGAAAGAAAAAACAAAACUAAAUGUCACUUUUUUAUCGGCUAUCCCCUCUGUUGUUCCAUCCUUUUAAUGUUUAUAUAACAUCUGUAUCUUUUCUGGUUUAUCAGGUCAUUGAGCUGCCAAUCAAGCAUCCUGAAUUGUUUGAGUCUCUUGGAAUUGCGCAGCCAAAGGUACACUUGAAUUUCAAAGCUUCUUCUCUAUUUUGUGAUGCUGCUAAAUGGAUUAGAAAUAGUUUUAAUUCCCUCUCUUUCUAGGGUGUGUUGUUAUAUGGUCCACCUGGAACUGGGAAGACACUUUUGGCUCGGGCUGUUGCACAUCACACUGACUGUACUUUCAUCAGAGUUUCUGGUUCAGAGCUGGUCCAGAAAUACAUUGGAGAAGGUUCUAGGAUGGUCAGAGAACUUUUUGUGAUGGCAAGGUUUGUAUAUCCUAGUCCCUAUUUGAAAUUUCAAGCAUGGUAAUAGUAAUUGGUAGGAAAAAAUGGAACUGUUGAUAAGAUACAUCUUUUAUCAUGUCCGUCAUUAGUAGCUGAAAUGGACAUGUGAUGUUGAGUUAAACGAGGAAUGUGUUCUUUGUUGCUAUUGGAAUAUGGUUCCGCCGUUUAGACAAUCUCAAGGAUAAAUAUUGUUCUAUAAAGUAUUCGUUCUCAUAAGGCCUAGCAUUUAGGCCACAGUAUGAAGUAUCAUGUAUGGAGCCGACUACGAAUAGAUGAGAUGAUUGUGUUGAAAAGACUUUUUCCCAGUUGGCUUACCUUUCUAGUGGCACCGGUUUGUGGUUUUCAGGGAGCAUGCACCAUCAAUCAUCUUCAUGGAUGAAAUCGAUAGUAUUGGGUCUGCUCGUAUGGAAUCUGGAAGUGGAAAUGGUGACAGUGAGGUGCAAAGGACUAUGCUUGAGCUUCUCAAUCAACUUGAUGGAUUCGAAGCGUCAAACAAAAUCAAGGUACGUGUCAAGUUGUAAAGGAAAAAAACAAUGAAGGUGAAUAGGAUGAGUCUAUGUUAUUGUAGUCUGAAUUUGCCGGCGUACUCAUUUAUUCUCUUAAAUGACUGUUGCAGGUUUUGAUGGCAACAAAUCGUAUUGAUAUUCUGGAUCAAGCUCUUCUCAGGCCUGGAAGGAUUGAUAGGAAAAUUGAAUUCCCUAAUCCUAAUGAAGAGGUAGUGCUUUUAGAAAAUGAUAUUAGAAGUAACUUUAACUGUGAGGUAGCAACUUUGCUCUGUUGCUUUAGGUGAUAUGAGUACAGAAUUUUGUCAAAGUAGGCUCCGUAUUUAGUAUUUAGACUAUCAUUUGCUGCAUAAAAUACUUUCUUUAUCUCCAUGCUCAUUGAGUAAGGCAGGACGGUUUGGCUAAUGUAUGUUUCUAAAUUGUGUUGCAGUCACGUUUUGAUAUCUUAAAGAUACACUCGAGGAAAAUGAAUUUGAUGCGUGGAAUCGAUCUGAAAAAGAUUGCAGAGAAGAUGAAUGGUGCUUCAGGUGCUGAGCUGAAGGUAAAAUGUUUCUAUUCAUCUGCUUCUCUUUUACUCUCUCUACUGUUUGCCUCUGUCAUAUGUUUUUGGUUAUUACGGUCAGGCUGUGUGCACGGAGGCAGGCAUGUUUGCGCUACGUGAGAGGAGAGUUCACGUGACACAAGAAGACUUUGAGAUGGCGGUGGCGAAGGUAAUGAAGAAAGACACAGAGAAGAACAUGUCUCUGCGUAAGCUCUGGAAGUAGGAAUCUCGUUGUUGUGUAAUUUCAAGUCAAUGGAAAGGCGCAGUUUCAUUUCAGACCUGAGAAAUUAGAGUUUCUUUACUUUACUGUUUGUUGUUUGGUUCUGAAACCUUUUUUUCGGUUGGCUCAUUAAACAUUUAAAAACAAAGUUUUUACUACCUAAACACGAGUUUAUCUAAAUGGUCUUUAAGCAGAGCAUUCAGAUUUUAUAGUUUUUCUUGUCCAAAUCAGUCAUGUUCGAUUAGAGAGAAAAGCCUAUAAUGUUGUAUCUCCUGUCUCCUGAGUCCUGAGUCCUGAUACGAAGAAAGACUUAGCAGUUAGCACAACCCAGACUGUCUAAUGAAUUUGCCAAUUUGGUUUAUUCGGUGUGGUUUAGUUCGGUUACCCAAUAAAGUUUUGGUAUAGGCUCUAAUUGUGGUUUUGGAAUAUAACAAAACCAAACGGCUGAUGAAUAUUCGGUUAAUUUUGGGUCGUUUCGGUUUUCCAAUUGCGGUAUUUUGUGUCGACCCCAAAUUUUUUUUUUCCGUCAAAGAAAUAAAAUUAAAUUGAACUUAAAAAAAAAAGAUGUCUUGUUGGAUAAUCCAAGGUUCUGUUCUAUAUAGUAGGGUUUAUUUGCUAAUGAUCUUGGUCUCUGUGAUCUAUCUUUGAAUCUCAAAAGCAUACUAGAGAGAGAGAUCUGUUUCGAUAAUUUGCUGCAAUCACCUUGUUAAUGGCGGCCGUAGGAGUGGAGGCGAGGCCUCCUGUGACAGCGAUGGAGGAAACCUGCAACGUUAAGGGUGCGGCGGCGAAACAAGGAGAAGGGCUCAAGCAGUAUUAUCUCCAGCAUAUCCAUGAGCUCCAGCGUCUGCUCCGCCAAAAGACGAACAACCUUAAUCGCCUUGAAGCUCAGAGGAAUGAACUCAAUUCUAGAGGUGUCUUUUUCCUUCCUUAACUCUAAUUUCUCUGCAAAAUCGGAUCUUUUGGUCAUCUGCUUGGUUUAGUAAUUUCGGACUCCAUGUUAGGGCUUUUGAUUUCGUUCUCCUUGGAGCUGGGUGCUGUAAAUUUCUAAAUUGUUGUGGUGAUUGCUAGGAUUGAGAGUUUCCGAUCUGGAAGUGGUUGGGUGGCGAUAGGAUCUUUUCCAGUAUUGGAUCUAAACCACGCUUCCAUUAUGUUGAGCCUUGAUUUUUAGCAUCACUUAGUUACCUUAUUCAGAUUUGUCGACUCUGUUUGUGUUGAGUAUGUAUCAGCUUCUUCAAUAGUUGAUACUUUAGCAAAGUAUGUAGCGAAUGUGGUGAGGAUGAGACAGAAUUGAUAGAAUCGUGGUAUACUGCAGAGCUAUGAAUUUCUUGUUUGGAACAUGUUUAGGAAUAUAUUUGAGUGCCAUAUUUUGACUUCUUAUCAACUGCAAAAGAAAAAGUUAAUCAUGUGGAAAAUUCGUGGCUGUUAGUAUUGCUACAUUGGUAGUUCGACUAUGACCUUUUCUUGAAAUCCUAGUUCUUUCUUAACUGUCUUAAUUGAGUAAAUAUACACUAACGGAAGGAGUCAUUUACUCUAAUCCAUGAUUUUACUUUUUAGUAACACAUUUAAUAUAGAACUGCCUUAGUGUCCAUAUUCUUGUCAUCACGAUCAUGAUCACAUUUAUACUUUAACCCCUUCUUAUCAGUCUUUAUAGUAUGUAGUUAAUUCUAAAUUUUAACCCUCGUUGUCAUUCUAAACUGAACAGUACGAAUGCUCAGAGAAGAGUUGCAACUACUUCAAGAACCUGGGUCCUAUGUGGGCGAAGUGGUAAAAGUGAUGGGA
This 4044-nucleotide long non-coding RNA is filed under the name Arabidopsis lyrata. Its description in RNAcentral is "long non-coding RNA (ALYR_LNC001250)". The record is from RNAcentral. Lineage: Eukaryota; Viridiplantae; Streptophyta; Magnoliopsida; Brassicales; Brassicaceae.